Molecule: ribosomal RNA, 253 nt
Filed under: uncultured bacterium
Lineage: Bacteria
Description: partial 16S ribosomal RNA
Rfam family: Bacterial small subunit ribosomal RNA
Source: RNAcentral
UACGGAGGGUGCAAGCGUUAUCCGGAUUCACUGGGUUUAAAGGGUGCGUAGGUGGGCAGGUAAGUCAGUGGUGAAAUCUCCGAGCUUAACUCGGAAACUGCCAUUGAUACUAUCUGUCUUGAAUAUCCUGGAGGUGAGCGGAAUAUGUCAUGUAGCGGUGAAAUGCUUAGAUAUGACAUAGAACACCAAUUGCGAAGGCAACUCACUACGGGAUUAUUGACACUGAGGCACGAAAGCGUGGGGAUCAAACAGG